UGACACUUCUGCUCAAUAUACUGCAGACAGAGUGUUCAAAUCAGCCACUAAUCAGCUCCUUUCCUCUCCUUUGUUUCAGUCCUCUUCUUUCAACGGAGCUGAAUUGUCCCAUUUUGUGGAAAGCAACAUCUAAAGCAAGUUUCUUUCCAAUAUUUUUUUUAGAGCUUGGAAUGUAUGACAUCUGGAUGACAUCUUCGCAUCUUGCUGUUUGAGGAAGUUGCACAACAUUCUCAGAGACUCUUCCCAUCCUGCUUACAAUCUUUUUGGACUGUUGCCUCCUGGCAGAAGAUACAGAACAAUUAAAACUCGGACCACA
Non-coding RNA from Pantherophis guttatus, 316 nucleotides. The record is from RefSeq and is a predicted model, not a curated record. Lineage: Eukaryota; Metazoa; Chordata; Lepidosauria; Squamata; Colubridae.